UACGUAGGGUGCGAGCGUUAAUCGGAAUUACUGGGCGUAAAGCGCACGUAGGUGGCGACGUAAGUCGGGUGUGAAAGCCCCGGGCUCAACCUGGGAAUUGCAUUCGAGACUGCAUUGCUGGAGUACGGAAGAGGAAGGCGGAAUUCCCGGUGUAGCGGUGAAAUGCGUAGAUAUCGGAAGGAACGCCGGUGGCGAAAGCGACUUGCUGGAUCUCUUCUGACGCUGAGGCGCGAAAGCUAGGGUAGCGAACGGG
Molecule: ribosomal RNA, 253 nt
Filed under: uncultured bacterium
Lineage: Bacteria
Description: partial 16S ribosomal RNA
Rfam family: Bacterial small subunit ribosomal RNA
Source: RNAcentral